GGGGACGUUACGGAUUCGACAGGCAUAGUUUGAACAAUGAAGGCAAUUCGUAGGUUGCGUCUACGUUAAAACGCUACAGUUAAAUAUAACUGCAAACACAAACAAAACUUUUGCUUUCGCUGCUUAAUAACCAGCGUCGCAAGAUUAGCCUAGCUUCUCCCAUGAGUUAGUCGCUAGUCUUAGAUUAGUGGGAUACGUUGCAAACUUCCGUUUGUAGUGCGCAAAAGAGAUUAAUCAAACUAGCAAAAUGAACGCCUGUUUACUGGCUAGCAUUGAGCGAAAUUUAAAUGAGUAAACUAUAAUUGUAGAAUUUGUUGUGGCAAUAUGUUUGGACGCGGGUUCGACUCCCGCCGUCUCCAUAC
Molecule: transfer-messenger RNA, 362 nt
Filed under: Aerococcaceae
Lineage: Bacteria; Bacillati; Bacillota; Bacilli; Lactobacillales
Also listed under: 1 other name
Description: WM01 sp017945845 Standard tmRNA
Rfam family: transfer-messenger RNA
About the family: Bacterial tmRNA, also known as 10Sa RNA or SsrA, is named for its dual tRNA and mRNA-like properties.
Source: RNAcentral